RNAcentral lists this long non-coding RNA (212 nucleotides) under Pan troglodytes (chimpanzee). RNAcentral's name for it is "long non-coding RNA NONPTRT006203". The record is from RNAcentral. Lineage: Eukaryota; Metazoa; Chordata; Mammalia; Primates; Hominidae.
GCAGGCACUGAGGUGAUGCUGGGGUUGCAGUGAGCUGUUGAACUAGAUGUGUCAGAAAUGAGAAAGGAGAUGAGAGAACAAAUUAGAAUACAGAGUGAUCGACACUUUGAUGAAGGAAGUAGAUGGAGCCUGGGGUCCAUGAAACCCACUGCCAAACCAACCCAGACAGGAGCACUGAAGAGCAGAGAUGCAUUUCAGAAGGGACCACUCGG